GCAAGUCGAGGGGUAACAUAUGGUGCUUGCACCCUGAUGACGACCGGCGCACGGGUGCGCAACGCGUAUGGAACCUGCCCUUUACAGGGGAAUAGCCUUUGGAAACGCAGAUUAAUGCCCCAUAUUACCUUCUGUAGCAUUGCAGGACGGUUAAAGGCUUCGGCCGGUAAAGGAUGGCCAUGCGUACCAUUAGUUUGUUGGUAAGGUAACGGCUUACCAAGACUUCGAUGGUUAGGGGGCCUGAGAGGGGGAUC
RNAcentral lists this ribosomal RNA (254 nucleotides) under uncultured bacterium. RNAcentral's name for it is "partial 16S ribosomal RNA". It matches the Rfam family "Bacterial small subunit ribosomal RNA", at positions 57 to 305 of the family's 1533-position model. The record is from RNAcentral.